UCUUUCUUUCUUUGACUCACUCAUAUAUUAUUCUAACAUUGAUCUUUCUUAAUUUUUUAUUUUAUUUUUCUUGACAACUCUUAAAGAAUUUAUUUAUUUAUAUAAAAUUUGCUCUUAUCAUGAAUUAGGCUCACCCAAGUCGACUGGCCGACUAAACCCCUUAAUUAAUUAAUUUCAUCCUCUGCUCGCUAUUGUGAAACAGCAGCUGUCCCCAGAAAAUCUUUGAAAGCAGUUUUGGAAGGGAACCCCAAGCCCUAGAAUCCUCCAAUUCAAAUCACACACAGUCACACACAAACAAUAAACAAAUCCAUUUGAUUACGUGCUAAUCUUGUGGACUCCUUCUUCCAAUUAUAUAUACUACUCGUGUUCUAUUCCAGAUGUUUCCCUCUCUCUCCAUACCCUUUGCCUUCUAGAUACCUCUGCGAAACAUGCAUCGAUCACUUUCUCUCUCCUCAUUUUCUCUCUCACUUUCUAUCCUAUUUUUCUCUGAAUUGUUCGGUUUUGUAUCAUCGUUCAAGACAAUGAUUCUUGUAAAUCACGUUUUACCAAACGCAUUUUGAUUUUGUAAUGCACAUGUUCAUGCUUGUAUUGAACAUGUCGCCAUUAGAAAAUUUCACCGUGGAGUUGUCUCUGUUUGGUUCUCGAGAAAAAGAGAUCGAUAAUGAAGGAAGAAUGGAUCUUGAUGCUACGCGUAUGUGCCAUUGAUACUCAGGCAUAAAUUAUUGCAGAACAAUUGAGAACAAUUUUCAAAUUUGUACAAUAGAAUAUUGAGUCCGGACGUUGUAAUUGGGUAAGAGACUACAUCAUUGAAAUAAGGAAAGAGAUUUUACCGAUGCUUUUCUUGUAAGUUCUGGAGUUGCUGCCUCAGCAUUCCUGCCUCUCUUUGCCAGUACUAUUCAAGUACAAUAGCAUGAUUUAGUAAUGUACUCAGAUACUGCUGAUUAGACUGAAUUACUUGGAAAAAUAAGUUUAGGGAGAGGAAAAGAAGAUACUUAUCAAAAAAAAAAAAAAAAGGGGGAGGAAAAGAAGAUAUUUUAAUUUUAUUAAAAAGUGAACAAAGGGUGAGGACCUUGUAGUCUAGCUGAAAAAUGAUGAAAUCCACAAGGUUGAAAAGUUACUUUGAGAAAUUGUCUAAUGAAAAUCAUAUAGAGAACUUGGGAAUAUUGGAACAAAAAGGAUAUUAAAGAAAACAAAAUUUUCCAAGGAUUGGAGUGUGCAGAUUGAAAAAUACAAUAAGAAAAAUGAAAACAGGCUUUAUGAUCAAAUGGUAUUCUUAUUUAGGCUUGGAAAUGUUUAGUAUGAUCAAUGAUGGUGUCUUUAGACUCUUUACUAAUAAACAUGUACUCCGGUCCAAGUAACAUUGCUUAUUGUAUCAUCCCUAGAUCUUGAACUCUGGUUUUUGACUAGUGUUGUAUAUACCCUUUUCACUUAGACUAUUCUAUGUUUUUUGGAGCAUCCAUAACAUGCCCGUUCCACUUCUUCAUUUAAUGUUUUGGCCCUUUUAUAUGCAAUACUCAGUCAUGCAUGUUAGCUUGCUUAACUUUUUUUGAUGCAGAUGGCUUAGCAUAUCAAAUUGAAGUAUCUGAUCAUUUACUCUCAUACCAAUUUGCUUAUUUCUUUUGGUUCUCAACUUAAUUUGACAGAACCCUUUUCCAACUAUUUGGAGUCAAGUUCAUGCUCAGAUCGUCAUAACAAAAGUUGUGUGUCCUGUUGGAUGUUAGGCUACCUAACACAACUUUUCUCUUUCAGGACUUAGGGCCUACUAAAAGUAAGGCUCUAAACACGACAGAACCAUUACAUACAACCACAAAACAUAGAAAAGAUGAACUCGGAGGACUUUGUAUUGAAGAUUACCUUAACCUCAGAACUGGAGUUUGCCGAUUGGUGAUGUUCCUCUUUUGAUUUAUUGUACCGUUCAAUUAUUGACUUCAUGCUGUUCAAAGUAACAUCAAUUGUGUUAGAUAUGUUACAACAAUAUUUGUGAAAGCUUCAUAUUGAACUCUUUGUAACACAAUGCAUGUAUCACUGCAAGAAGAAUAAUUACUCAACAAAUCCUUGAAGAACAAAUGUUGAAAGAAAAUUCAACUAUUAAAAUGGCUUCAUGAAGUAUUUCUUUUGAUUACUCAUUAAGAUUUUCCCGAUUGUUUUUAAGCUCUGUGGAUCACGAACUCAUGUUUAUCUGAAAAUUGGAUGUGGUGCAUUUUCUAGAAAUCAAAUGUUGAACUGAAAAGACUACAUUUAUUGCAUGAUGCACUUUAUUAUGUUCUCCUGUUAUUCCCACACAACUAUGUUUUACUGAGGGUUCUUCUACAACUACCCUCCCAAAGAAAAAAAAAUAAAAAAAUGAAAAUUAAGUUGUAAUGAAAAAUCCCAGUCUAUUUUUGUUUACUUUUCAUUGAGUCAUCUUACACUUUUUUUAUAUUUAAAAAACACCAAUAGGGUGUAGUAGGUACUUGAUCGACAUUUCGAAGCAGAGUUAUUACUUCUUAUAGUUAUUCUUUCAGAUUUGUAUGUUGAGGAAAACCAAGUCUAUAAGGUUGUUAUGUUUGAAGCUGAGUUAUUGUUCAUUAUCAUUAUUCCUCACACUAUUUGCCUUUGUUAUGCUAAUCUAGCCAAGUUCACAAUAGCACUUUCCAAUCCAAUCUGAUAUUAUUCAGCUGGAUUGGCUUUGUACUUUCCUUUUUUGUUUGUUUGUUUGUUUUUUUGGUUUUUUUUCUCCCUCCCUUGAAUGUGUUUUCUUAUAAUCCGUUUGUUCAUCAAGUACUUCUUUUUAAUUAAAGAUAUUGUCAUGGUAUUGCAUUUUUUUUUUUUUUUUUUUUUGAUAAGUAAAAAAUAUAUUAGAAAAACGUUCAAAAGGGGAAUGCGUCCCUAAUACACAAAAAUGAGAGAGCAAAAGCCAAACCUACGGACCAAUAGAGUCUAAUAGAACUAAAAAAUCAUUAA
This is a long non-coding RNA of Cornus florida, 2943 nucleotides long. RefSeq lists it as uncharacterized. Lineage: Eukaryota; Viridiplantae; Streptophyta; Magnoliopsida; Cornales; Cornaceae. The transcript has 5 exons. The record is from RefSeq and is a predicted model, not a curated record.